GUGGGUGUAGCUCAGUGGUAAGGUACUUGCCUAGCACGCAUGAGGCUCUGGGUUCAAUCCCCACCAUCACCA
Molecule: transfer RNA, 72 nt
Filed under: Neotoma lepida (desert woodrat)
Lineage: Eukaryota; Metazoa; Chordata; Mammalia; Rodentia; Cricetidae
Rfam family: tRNA
About the family: Transfer RNA (tRNA) molecules are approximately 80 nucleotides in length. Their secondary structure includes four short double-helical elements and three loops (D, anti-codon, and T loops). Further hydrogen bonds mediate the characteristic L-shaped molecular structure. tRNAs have two regions of fundamental functional importance: the anti-codon, which is responsible for specific mRNA codon recognition, and the 3' end, to which the tRNAs corresponding amino acid is attached (by aminoacyl-tRNA synthetases). tRNAs cope with the degeneracy of the genetic code in two manners: having more than one tRNA (with a specific anti-codon) for a particular amino acid; and 'wobble' base-pairing, i.e. permitting non-standard base-pairing at the 3rd anti-codon position.
Source: Rfam by way of RNAcentral